UACGUAGGGUGCAAGCGUUGUCCGGAAUUAUUGGGCGUAAAGAGCUUGUAGGCGGUUUGUCGCGUCUGCUGUGAAAUUUCGGGGCUCAACCCCGAACUUGCAGUGGGUACGGGCAGACUAGAGUGUGGUAGGGGAGACUGGAAUUCCUGGUGUAGCGGUGAAAUGCGCAGAUAUCAGGAGGAACACCGAUGGCGAAGGCAGGUCUCUGGGCCAUAACUGACGCUGAGGCGCGAAAGCGUGGGGAGCAAACGGG
This 253-nucleotide ribosomal RNA is filed under the name uncultured bacterium. Its description in RNAcentral is "partial 16S ribosomal RNA". It matches the Rfam family "Bacterial small subunit ribosomal RNA", at positions 524 to 776 of the family's 1533-position model. The record is from RNAcentral.